GUGAGAUUAGUUUAUGAAUAUAAAAUACGGCCUUUCUACGUUCGUGAUUCUCUUUUUGAAUUUCACA
Molecule: transfer RNA, 67 nt
Filed under: Phallusia fumigata
Lineage: Eukaryota; Metazoa; Chordata; Ascidiacea; Phlebobranchia; Ascidiidae
Description: transfer RNA-Gly (AGR)
Source: RNAcentral